RNAcentral lists this small nuclear RNA (132 nucleotides) under Sander lucioperca (pikeperch). RNAcentral's name for it is "U4 spliceosomal RNA (ENSSLUG00000010995.1)". It matches the Rfam family "U4 spliceosomal RNA". Rfam says of the family: U4 small nuclear RNA (U4 snRNA) is a component of the major U2-dependent spliceosome. The structure of U4 snRNA from yeast and human has been reported. U4 snRNA presents a k-turn RNA motif in the 5p-SL related to recognition of Snu13 protein. Lineage: Eukaryota; Metazoa; Chordata; Actinopteri; Perciformes; Percidae. The record is from Rfam by way of RNAcentral.
AUCCUUGCGCAGUGGCAGUAUCGUAGCCUAUGAGGUUUAUCUGAGGCGCGAUUAUUGCUGGUUGAAAACAUAAGUAACAAUAAAGCAUAAAUCGAACUUUUGCUUGUCCAGGUCUGUAGAUAGCCUGGGCUA